AAAAAAUACUGUAGCAAUGAUAAUUAAUUUCUUUUGUGAAUUAUUAUUUUAACAGUACCUCCUGAAAGUCAAUGAAAUCAAGAUUAAAAAAGGAGUGGACUUGCUUCAGAACUUGAUCAAGUAUUUUCAUGCUCAGUGCAAUUUCUUUCAGGAUGGGUUAAAAGCAGUUGAAAGUCUCAAGCCUUCAAUUGAGACACUCUCAACAGAUCUUUAUACAAUUAAACAAGCACAAGAUGAGGAAAGAAGACAAUUAACACAGCUUAGAGAUAUUUUAAAGUCAGCACUCCAGGUUGAUCAGAAAGAGGAUUCUCAGCUUCGUCAGAGUACAGCUUACAGUUUACAUCAGCCUCAGGGAAACAAGGAACAUGGCACUGAACGCAAUGGUAGUCUGUACAAGAAGAGUGAUGGAAUCAGAAAAGUGUGGCAGAAGAGGAAGUGUUCAGUUAAAAAUGGUUUUCUUACAAUUUCCCAUGGUACAGUAA
Long non-coding RNA from Antrostomus carolinensis (chuck-will's-widow), 482 nucleotides. RefSeq lists it as uncharacterized. The record is from RefSeq and is a predicted model, not a curated record. Lineage: Eukaryota; Metazoa; Chordata; Aves; Caprimulgiformes; Caprimulgidae. The transcript has 5 exons.